Molecule: ribosomal RNA, 815 nt
Filed under: uncultured bacterium
Lineage: Bacteria
Description: bacterial SSU rRNA
Rfam family: Bacterial small subunit ribosomal RNA
Source: RNAcentral
CUUAGAGUUUGAUCCUGGCUCAAGAUGACCUUUAGCUACAGGCUUAACACAUGCAAGUCGAGGGGCAGCAUGGUCUUAGCUUGCUAAGGCCGAUGGCGACCGGCGCACGGGUGAGUAACACGUAUCCAACCUGCCGUCUACUCUUGGACAGCCUUCUGAAAGGAAGAUUAAUACAAGAUGGCAUCAUGAGUCCGCAUGUUCACAUGAUUAAAGGUAUUCCGGUAGACGAUGGGGAUGCGUUCCAUUAGAUAGUAGGCGGGGUAACGGCCCACCUAGUCUUCGAUGGAUAGGGGUUCUGAGAGGAAGGUCCCCCACAUUGGAACUGAGACACGGUCCAAACUCCUACGGGAGGCAGCAGUGAGGAAUAUUGGUCAAUGGGCGAGAGCCUGAACCAGCCAAGUAGCGUGAAGGAUGACUGCCCUAUGGGUUGUAAACUUCUUUUAUAAAGGAAUAAAGUCGGGUAUGCAUACCCGUUUGCAUGUACUUUAUGAAUAAGGAUCGGCUAACUCCGUGCCAGCAGCCGCGGUAAUACGGAGGAUCCGAGCGUUAUCCGGAUUUAUUGGGUUUAAAGGGAGCGUAGAUGGAUGUUUAAGUCAGUUGUGAAAGUUUGCGGCUCAACCGUAAAAUUGCAGUUGAUACUGGAUAUCUUGAGUGCAGUUGAGGCAGGCGGAAUUCGUGGUGUAGCGGUGAAAUGCUUAGAUAUCACGAAGAACUCCGAUUGCGAAGGCAGCCUGCUAAGCUGCAACUGACAUUGAGGCUCGAAAGUGUGGGUAUCAAACAGGAUUAGAUACCCUGGUAGUCCACACGGUAAACGA